Long non-coding RNA from Salvia splendens (bonfire salvia), 626 nucleotides. RefSeq lists it as uncharacterized. The record is from RefSeq and is a predicted model, not a curated record. Lineage: Eukaryota; Viridiplantae; Streptophyta; Magnoliopsida; Lamiales; Lamiaceae. The transcript is spliced from 2 exons.
UGUGUUUUGCGAAAAAAAAAUUAUUAAAAAAAAUCAGAUUUCAUCAAAAGUUGCAUCCCGCUAGAGGAAAAAAAAAAUCGCUGCAUCCCGCCGAAGGAAAUCGAUUGGAGAAAAUCACUGGUUGGAGAACAUCACCAUCCGAACUAAAUCGAUUUCACAUCUUAAUCCAUCCUAAUCCAGAAAAUUUUGACAAAAACGAGGAUGUCCACAUUGUCAUGUAAUAUGAGCCAUGGGAGUUGGCCAAGGCCAGAAGUCGUGGUUUGUAAUCAUGGAAUUGAAGCUCAAGUUGUAACAUCGAAGACGGAUGCCAAUUCUGGACGACAUUUCUAUCGGUGCUAUAUUUGGAAGGAGGACGACCACAAGUUCUUCCUCUGGAUUGAUCCAUCUUUGAACUAUGUCUAUGAUUUGCAUCGACAGAACCGGAACUUGAAGUAUGCCAUUUUGUGUUUAUGUGUUGUGGUUUGGCUUCUUAUCUAGACUAUAAUAGUCCAGAUUAUGUAAUAGUCUAAUGUAUUUCAACUAUGUCUAUGAUUUUACAUUGAAGUUUAAAUGUAUCCUCAAAUUUAUCUUCGUUGUAGACUUUAUGAAAUUUUCAAUGCAGAUGCAGUGUUAACUUAAUUAAUUUA